GCUGGCCUGGGAGGAUCAUUAUGAUUCACUUAUUCUGGUGCAAAUGAGAAGUCAUGGACGUCUGCUCCUUUGGGAAUCUCCACCCCUUUGAAAAGAGAAUGGAGGUUAAAAAUCUGCUAAAUGAGUUAGCAGUAACCAGGAUCCUUCUCCUCCACAGAUCUCAAAACUGCCCUUGUGCAGGGAGACGAUUUCUCAUCAGGCACCAGCAGCCGGAGCACCAGGCUCAUUCACGGAGGAGUCCGAUAUCUACAGAAAGCCAUCAUGAAAUUGGAUUACAAACAGGACAACACAACGAUGCUCGAAUGAACCUCGCCAUCGCCCUCACUGCUGCCAGGUAUGGGGCUGCCAUAGCCAAUUACACUGAAGUGGUGCACCUACUGAAGAGGGCAGACCCUCAGACGGGGAAGGAGAGGGUCUGCGGAGCACACUGCGGGGAUGUGAUCACAGUUUCAAAAGGCUCCCUUAGUCACUGCCACUGAGCUGCUCUGUGACACAAAGAGGCAAGAGGGAAAUUAGGGCAGGAAUUUGAUGUCAGAGCCAAAUGUGUUAUCAAUGCCACGGGACCUUUUACAGACGCGCUGCAGAAAAUGGAUGAUCAGAAGAACCCCGACAUCUGUCAGCCCAGUGCUGGGGUGCACAUCGUCAUCCCGGGCUAUUACAGGUGGCCCAACAUCUGGCUCCCACCUACAGACGCAGGGCCCUAUGAAGUGGUCAAGAGGGCUCAUUGCAGCGAGGAAAGAGUUUUGACCAGCAAGCAUCCUGUGUUGGACUGCAACUUGAAGCCCUGUGCCAUGAGACAAGCUCAGACGGACGGAUUUCAGCACUAAUCCGUUUGAUUGAGCCAUAAUGCUUCACACAAGAUUGAGUCACAGAGCGAAGAAAAGAGGGAUGAAGUGAGGAGCGAGGAAGAGAUGCAGAGACAGAGGGGAGAAGAGGAAGAAGACACAGAGGGGGCUGCUGGCUAAAUUAAGCCAUUGUGACUCAAAAUCCUCCUUUAAUAAGGUUCAUGCUGUCUACAACUUCAUCAUUUUCUCCUGAAUGAUAAUUACUUUAUUCAAUCAUGUUCAAGGUUUUAGUGAAAGCUAGCAUUGAUUGAUUAACUUCAAUUACCAUGCUUGCAUUUGCAUAGAUAAAAACUGCUUUUCAAUUUGUGAGUGGCACGCGGGUGGAAACCCUGCCUUGAUAUUUGCAUUUCAAUGUGAACGGUGAAGGAUAAAGGUGGGAGCGGGGUCUGUUCACUGCUAAGCCCUUUCUGGUCGGCUGCGCCAGCAUCUAUUUUUCCAUAAACACCCUUUGUUAUGAUGUUGGUUUGCUCCCUCCACGCAGAGAGAGCCAGCAGUGAGCUCUGUUUGCAGGCUGGCUUGACGGCUCUGUUGGGGGAUUAGGCUACGUUGCACUACAACUCAGUGGAGAGCUUAGGUGAGCUCGGGCUGUGGCACUGCGCCGCUCUCACACGCAACGAGCACAUGAAUAGACGACUGUUGGGAAAUUUCACACUCCAAGGAAUUGCGUAUGGCCAUAUUAUAUCUAUAGGCUGACGAAGCUAAUGAAGAUGCAUAUGUGUGCAGAGCAAGAGGCAAUGGAGAUAAUUACAAUUAUCACAUGUCUAUAUCAAUCACCAUUAAGUAGACUGAAAAACAUAUAUGAACCUGGACAAUUCAUCUUGACAGACGUCUCCCGCAUUCAGCCGUCACUUUAUUUGAAUUCUCCUCAACUUUCACCCAGAGCUAUACAUCUUACCUCUACAAAAGUACAUGUUCAUUUUCAAAUCACAAGACUUCCUCUGUCUUGACAAGCUGGAUUUUUUUUCCCGCUUCUUGCCAACUUUAAGUGAUAAUUGAAAAACCAACAGAUACUUGUAAUUGCGUUAUAGUAAUUGGAAGCCAUGAGCACCUAAGUGUGAAAAAAUAAUUUUUUUUUUCUUUGAAGUUCUUAUCCACUUGAUCAUGGUGAGUUAAAAUAAAAAAUAAUGAGAGGAGGUGGUUUUGUAAUGUAUAGAAUUUCCAUUUUUGCUCCAGGCCACGCAGGUACUGUACAAAUAUACAGUGAGCAAAAUCACAGCUGUGCCACUUAUGCGUGAGUAUUGGGAUUACUGUCACCUUUGUCUGCAUAUUUUUCUUUGAUUAAUGUCACCCAAAUGGCUGUGUCUUCCAAAUGAGAACCCAGUUCAUUUGCAUGAUUUUUUGUACAUGGUGCAAAUUUGGGGAUAAAUUAGUCAGUCUCCCAUCUUUGUUGGCAUGGCACUGAGUGAUUUUUUUUUUUUUUUUUUUUAACUGAAGGAGUCUCAGAGCAAUACUCCCAGAGAAUUACACCUGUGAGA
Long non-coding RNA from Scatophagus argus, 2320 nucleotides. RefSeq lists it as uncharacterized. The transcript has 8 exons. The record is from RefSeq and is a predicted model, not a curated record. NCBI's taxonomy places the organism in Eukaryota, Metazoa, Chordata, Actinopteri, Scatophagidae.